UACGUAGGGGGCAAGCGUUAUCCGGAAUUACUGGGUGUAAAGGGAGCGUAGACGGUAAUGUAAGUCUGGAGUGAAAGGCGGGGGCCCAACCCCCGGACUGCUCUGGAAACUAUGUUACUAGAGUGCAAGAGAGGUAAGCGGAAUUCCUAGUGUAGCGGUGAAAUGCGUAGAUAUUAGGAGGAACACCAGUGGCGAAGGCGGCUUACUGGACUGUAACUGACGUUGAGGCUCGAAAGCGUGGGGAGCAAACAGG
This 253-nucleotide ribosomal RNA is filed under the name uncultured bacterium. Its description in RNAcentral is "partial 16S ribosomal RNA". It matches the Rfam family "Bacterial small subunit ribosomal RNA", at positions 524 to 776 of the family's 1533-position model. The record is from RNAcentral.